This 16-nucleotide ribosomal RNA is filed under the name Exormotheca brevipedunculata. RNAcentral describes it as "Stephensoniella brevipedunculata partial 23S ribosomal RNA". Lineage: Eukaryota; Viridiplantae; Streptophyta; Marchantiopsida; Marchantiales; Exormothecaceae. The record is from RNAcentral.
AAGAUGAGUGCUCUCC